CAGCACGCCAACACAUGUAAACAU
RNAcentral lists this microRNA (24 nucleotides) under Ananas comosus (pineapple). RNAcentral describes it as "microRNA s1563_c090b". The record is from RNAcentral. Lineage: Eukaryota; Viridiplantae; Streptophyta; Magnoliopsida; Poales; Bromeliaceae.